GAAAUUGAGUAGAAAAAAUAAAUAUUUCGCCAACCAAAUGAGACCAAAAAAGUAUGAAAAUUUAAUAUGUAGUAACCUAGGAUGUAUUCUACAACUUUCAUGGAGGACACGUGUUAGAACUCUGGAUCAAAAAAUCUGUGGAAAAAGAAAAACGAGGAGUGGUCAAUGCCGUAAGUCCAAAAACAGAUUUUGAAUUCCGAAGUUUUCCAAAUAUAUUGUUAUCAUACAAAGUCCAAAAAUUCUGAAAUUAAAGUAUAUCAUAAAACAGCCAAUAAGAGACAAUGAGAGACAACUUUCUUGAGAAUGACUCAUGAAAUUUGCAUAAGUCAUUACAAAAUUAGAAAGAUUCGGCAUUGGGCUAGGAUCCGAACCUGCCCUCAGUCCCAGCACAGGUUUAAUUCCAAAUUCCAUCCAAUUUUUGGGAAACUCUCAUCAUCACAUGACAAGUGAUCAGUAUAGGAUAGAAUGGAGGAUGUCCAAUUGCCUCGGUCCUCAUGGAAGGCAGUUGCGACUUGAUGAGAUGAAGGCGAGGUUGACGGUGGCAGCGCGAGUAGCUGCGACGGAAAGGGACGGUCUUUGCUGCUUCUGCUUGUUGGCUUUCGCUGCGUCUGGUCUGCGGACGUGAGGUGCUGGCGUCGCAAUAGAAAGGAAAGGGGAAGGGCUCCUUCGCUGGCUUCUCGUGUCACGGUUGCA
RNAcentral lists this long non-coding RNA (693 nucleotides) under Eucalyptus grandis. RNAcentral's name for it is "long non-coding RNA (EGRA_LNC005282)". Lineage: Eukaryota; Viridiplantae; Streptophyta; Magnoliopsida; Myrtales; Myrtaceae. The record is from RNAcentral.